ACGGGUGAGUAAUGCCUAGGAAUCUGCCUGGUAGUGGGGGAUAACGCUCGGAAACGGACGCUAAUACCGCAUACGUCCUACGGGAGAAAGCAGGGGACCUUCGGGCCUUGCGCUAUCAGAUGAGCCUAGGUCGGAUUAGCUAGUUGGUGAGGUAAUGGCUCACCAAGGCGACGAUCCGUAACUGGUCUGAGAGGAUGAUCAGUCACACUGGAACUGAGACACGGUCCAGACUCCUACGGGAGGCAGCAGUGGGGAAUAUUGGACAAUGGGCGAAAGCCUGAUCCAGCCAUGCCGCGUGUGUGAAGAAGGUCUUCGGAUUGUAAAGCACUUUAAGUUGGGAGGAAGGGCAUUAACCUAAUACGUUAGUGUUUUGACGUUACCGACAGAAUAAGCACCGGCUAACUCUGUGCCAGCAGCCGCGGUAAUACAGAGGGUGCAAGCGUUAAUCGGAAUUACUGGGCGUAAAGCGCGCGUAGGUGGUUUGUUAAGUUGGAUGUGAAAUCCCCGGGCUCAACCUGGGAACUGCAUUCAAAACUGACAAGCUAGAGUAUGGUAGAGGGUGGUGGAAUUUCCUG
This 575-nucleotide ribosomal RNA is filed under the name uncultured Pseudomonas sp. RNAcentral's name for it is "bacterial SSU rRNA". It matches the Rfam family "Bacterial small subunit ribosomal RNA", at positions 102 to 673 of the family's 1533-position model. The record is from RNAcentral. Lineage: Bacteria; Pseudomonadati; Pseudomonadota; Gammaproteobacteria; Pseudomonadales; Pseudomonadaceae.